GUGGCGACAACGAUACAAUGAUCGAAAGAAUAAAACGCUAGGAAGUACUGCAAGAUUGUUGCGAUUCAUAUGAAGAUUUUCUACACUUCACUCGAGAGUCGGCUUCUCAUUCUUGAUGAAUGAGGUUAUGCGGCAUGGGAGGACACAUAGCAUAUGAUCAUGCGCGAGGAAUAACGUUACCCAGGACGGUUGAUUUCCUUAGAAAAUAGCUUAGCUGCAGCAGCUCUCAGUGUGUAACAACUGUCAAAAUGAGAUGACUGUAUUGAACUAUUUAACUAUUUAACUCACUGUGUGUAGAUUCAACUUUUGCAGAACGCAUCUUGAAGGAUUGAUCUUUGACGCGGUUUUAACGUGUAUUUUUGUAUUCAAACUUCUACUCACAAACUUCCGGGUCUUUGCAGUAGUCUUCAGAAAAGGUGAGUCCCCAGUCUGUCGUGGUCUCCUUGUGAGAGGCUGUCAUCAUGGCAUCAGCCAAGCUGAAGUACCUCUCUCUGGGGAUCCUGGUGUUCCAGACCACGUCACUGGUUCUCACCAUGCGUUACUCGCGCACCUUGCAAGGCGACGGGCCACGUUACCUGGCCUCCUCUGCUGUGGUGGUGGCAGAGUUCCUCAAGAUCCUCACCUGUGUGGGGCUUGUCUUCAAAGAUCAUAGUUACAGUGGCCGAGCGCUAAGCAGUAUUUUGAGACAAGAGAUUCUACAUAAGCCUAUAGAGACACUGAAGCUGGCGAUUCCUUCAGGGAUCUACACGCUACAGAAUAACCUGCUUUACGUAGCACUGUCCAACCUUGAUGCGGCUACCUACCAGGUGACAUACCAGUUGAAAAUCCUGACCACAGCCCUGUUUUCAGUUUCUAUGCUGGGCCGCAGGCUCGGGGUAUACCAGUGGUUGUCUCUGCUGAUUCUUAUGGCCGGCAUUGCACUUAUACAAUGGCCAGCAGACUCCCCGUCAGACCCGCAGAAAGAGCAACUGACUCCAGGCUCACAGUUUGUCGGGCUGGUGGCCGUGUUGGUGGCCUGUUGCUCUAGUGGGUUUGCUGGUGUCUACUUUGAGAAGAUCCUUAAAGAGACCAAGCAGAGUGUUUGGGUCCGAAACAUCCAGCUUGGCAUGUUUGGUCUGGUUUUUGGGAUCUUCGGGAUGUUGGCCUACGAUGGUGACCGAGUCCGAGAACACGGAAUGUUUCAGGGCUACAACACGCUGACCUGGAUUGUGGUCGCUCUCCAAGCUCUUGGAGGGCUCGUGAUAGCUGCUGUCAUCAAGUAUGCUGACAACAUACUGAAAGGCUUUGCUACAUCACUCUCAAUUAUCCUCUCCACAUUCAUUUCAUAUUUCUGGCUUGAGGAUUUUGAGCCUACCAGUGUGUUCUUCCUGGGCACAGUAAUGGUCAUAAUGGCGACGUUUCUCUAUGGAUAUGAGAGCAAGCCGGCACCCAACCCAAGCAGGGCAUGAAAAGUGGAUGGAUGAGGUUGAAGUGGAGUGGAACAAAAGAACGACAGAGAGGAGAAGAGGAGAGAAGGGGUAUAGAGUGGAAAACAGGAUUGAUACAAGAUCUGUGUGCAGGAGAGGAAAUGAGAAGGGGAAACUAUUUGCACAUUUUGGAAUGAAAUCUUUCCCUCUGCUCCUGUUGGUCAUCCCUCUUCUACACCCCAGCCAGCCAAAGCGAAUCCACAAAUGAAAUGUCCUGGAACAAGUGAAAAAGGUUCUUUAUAUACUUUUCUAAAACAACAAACAUG
Carassius carassius (crucian carp) is the source of this 1732-nucleotide RNA transcript. It is a transcript of the gene named UDP-N-acetylglucosamine transporter-like, with no coding region annotated. Lineage: Eukaryota; Metazoa; Chordata; Actinopteri; Cypriniformes; Cyprinidae. The transcript has 9 exons. The record is from RefSeq and is a predicted model, not a curated record.